RNAcentral lists this ribosomal RNA (746 nucleotides) under uncultured bacterium. Its description in RNAcentral is "bacterial SSU rRNA". It matches the Rfam family "Bacterial small subunit ribosomal RNA", at positions 9 to 715 of the family's 1533-position model. The record is from RNAcentral.
GAGUUUGAACCUGGCUCAGGACGAACGCUGGCGGCGUGCCUAAUACAUGCAAGUCGAGCGAGCUUGCCUAGAUGAUUUUAGUGCUUGCACUAAAUGAAACUAGAUACAAGCGAGCGGCGGACGGGUGAGUAACACGUGGGUAACCUGCCCAAGAGACUGGGAUAACACCUGGAAACAGAUGCUAAUACCGGAUAACAACACUAGACGCAUGUCUAGAGUUUGAAAGAUGGUUCUGCUAUCACUCUUGGAUGGACCUGCGGUGCAUUAGCUAGUUGGUAAGGUAACGGCUUACCAAGGCAAUGAUGCAUAGCCGAGUUGAGAGACUGAUCGGCCACAUUGGGACUGAGACACGGCCCAAACUCCUACGGGAGGCAGCAGUAGGGAAUCUUCCACAAUGGACGAAAGUCUGAUGGAGCAACGCCGCGUGAGUGAAGAAGGGUUUCGGCUCGUAAAGCUCUGUUGGUAGUGAAGAAAGAUAGAGGUAGUAACUGGCCUUUAUUUGACGGUAAUUACUUAGAAAGUCACGGCUAACUACGUGCCAGCAGCCGCGGUAAUACGUAGGUGGCAAGCGUUGUCCGGAUUUAUUGGGCGUAAAGCGGGUGCAGGCGGUUCAAUAAGUCUGAUGUGAAAGCCUUCGGCUCAACCGGAGAAUUGCAUCAGAAACUGUUGAACUUGAGUGCAGAAGAGGAGAGUGGAACUCCAUGUGUAGCGGUGGAAUGCGUAGAUAUAUGGAAGAACACCAGUGG